RNAcentral lists this ribosomal RNA (463 nucleotides) under Haptophyta environmental samples. Its description in RNAcentral is "SSU rRNA". It matches the Rfam family "Eukaryotic small subunit ribosomal RNA", at positions 432 to 900 of the family's 1831-position model. Lineage: Eukaryota; Haptophyta. The record is from RNAcentral.
GCGCGUAAAUUGCCCGAAUCCUGACACAGGGAGGUAGUGACAAGAAAUAACAAUACAGGGCUCUCUGAGUCUUGUAAUUGGAAUGAGUACAAUUUACAUCUCUUCACGAGGAUCAAUUGGAGGGCAAGUCUGGUGCCAGCAGCCGCGGUAAUUCCAGCUCCAAUAGCGUAUAUUAAAGUUGUUGCAGUUAAAACGCUCGUAGUCGGAUUUCGGGGCGGGGCCGCCGGUCUGCCGAUAGGUAUGCACUGGCGGGCGCGUCCUUUUUCCCGGAGACGGCUGCUACUCUUAACUGAGCGGUGGUCGGAGACGGGAUGUUUACUUUGAAAAAAUCAGAGUGUUUCGAGCAGGCAGUCGCUCUUGCAUGGAUUAGCAUGGGAUAAUGAAAUAGGACUCUGGUGCUAUUUUGUUGGUUUCGAGCACCGGAGUAAUGAUUAACAGGGACAGUCAGGGGCACUCGUAUUCC